AUUCAACUGAUGAGUCCAAAAUGGGACGAAACUCGUGUCCUAUAU
RNAcentral lists this non-coding RNA (45 nucleotides) under Schistosoma curassoni. The record is from RNAcentral. Lineage: Eukaryota; Metazoa; Platyhelminthes; Trematoda; Strigeidida; Schistosomatidae.